RNAcentral lists this ribosomal RNA (253 nucleotides) under uncultured bacterium. Its description in RNAcentral is "partial 16S ribosomal RNA". It matches the Rfam family "Bacterial small subunit ribosomal RNA", at positions 524 to 776 of the family's 1533-position model. The record is from RNAcentral.
UACGGAGGGUGCAAGCGUUAUCCGGAUUCACUGGGUUUAAAGGGUGCGUAGGUGGGCAAGUAAGUCAGUGGUGAAAUCUCCGGGCUUAACCCGGAAACUGCCAUUGAUACUAUUUGUCUUGAAUACUGUGGAGGUCAGCGGAAUAUGUCAUGUAGCGGUGAAAUGCUUAGAUAUGACAUAGAACACCCAUUGCGAAGGCAGCUUACUACGGAUACAUUGACACUGAGGCACGAAAGCGUGGGGAUCAAACAGG